GACGAACGCUGGCGGCAUGCCUAAUACAUGCAAGUCGAGCGAACAGAUGAAGUGCUUGCACUUCUGACGUUAGCGGCGAACGGGUGAGUAACACGUAAGGAAUCUACCUAUAAGCGGGGGAUAACAUUCGGAAACGGGUGCUAAUACCGCAUAAUAUCUUCUUUCGCAUGGAAGAAGAUUGAAAGACGGCUCUGCUGUCACUUAUAGAUGACCUUGCGGUGCAUUAGUUAGUUGGUGGGGUAACGGCCUACCAAGACGAUGAUGCAUAGCCGACCUUGGAGGGUGAGGAGCUGGAGUGGGAAUAAGAAACGGCCCAGACUCCUACGGGAGGAUGCAGUAGGGAAUCUUCCGCAAUGGGCGAAAGCCUGACGGAGCAAUGCCGCGUGAGUGAAGAAGGCCUUCAGGUCGUAAAACUCUGUUAUAAGAGAAGAACAAAUUGUAGAGUAACUGCUACAGUCUUGACGGUAUCUUAUCAGAAAGCCACGGCUAACUACGUGCCAGCCGCCGCCGUAA
This 513-nucleotide ribosomal RNA is filed under the name uncultured bacterium. RNAcentral's name for it is "partial 16S ribosomal RNA". It matches the Rfam family "Bacterial small subunit ribosomal RNA", at positions 28 to 523 of the family's 1533-position model. The record is from RNAcentral.